CCUACGGGCGGCAGCAGUGAGGAAUAUUGGUCAAUGGGCGUAAGCCUGAACCAGCCAAGUCGCGUGAGGGAUGACGGUUCUAUGGAUCGUAAACCUCUUUUAUAAGGGAAUAAAGUGCGGGACGUGUCCCGUUUUGUAUGUACCUUAUGAAUAAGGAUCGGCUAACUCCGUGCCAGCAGCCGCGGUAAUACGGAGGAUCCGAGCGUUAUCCGGAUUUAUUGGGUUUAAAGGGUGCGUAGGCGGGCUUUUAAGUCAGCGGUGAAAGUUUGUGGCUCAACCAGAGAAUUGCCGUUGAAACUGGGAGGCUUGAGUAUGGUUGAGGUAGGCGGAAUGCGUGGUGUAGCGGUGAAAUGCUUAGAUAUCACGCAGAACUCCGAUUGCGAAGGCAGCCUGCUAAGCCAUGACUGACGCUGAUGCACGAAAGCGUGGGGAUCAAACAGGAUUAGAUACCCUAGUAGUC
RNAcentral lists this ribosomal RNA (460 nucleotides) under uncultured bacterium. RNAcentral's name for it is "partial 16S ribosomal RNA". It matches the Rfam family "Bacterial small subunit ribosomal RNA", at positions 338 to 795 of the family's 1533-position model. The record is from RNAcentral.